GAUUUCUAGGAGUAUAUUUUUAGUUUUUGUUAAUUAGUAGGAAAAUAAUUUUUUUUAGAAAACCUUUUAUAAAAAUCCUUCUUUUAAUUUUUGAUUUCUUUUCUUUUAAUUUGGUUUUGAUUUUUUUGUUUGCAGGUGAGAAAUAAAAUGGGCCGCUGUUUUGGGCUUAUGGUGUUAAUAGAAGAAGAAUUGGGAUGCUGAAAUUGGAUUGUCGCUGUUGUGUUGCACUGAAGCUGCACUGGGCGGAGUUAAACGAUGGUGCAGUUAGCAUUUGAGCUGCUGAUGGGUUAAAGCCCACUGAAUCAAAACGUUGCUGCCACACUUGGGACGUUGUUUCUGCUGUUUCUUAUUAGGCCACUGCAUUGGAACUAAUGAGAAGCAAUUCUUGGGUUGAUUUGGAAAAAAAUGAAACGCACGUUUUGGGUCCAUCANCGUUUAAUGAAGUGUGCGUUUUGAUGGCUGAAGAGUUGUGCAGGGUCUUGGUUAACACUCUUCAUUUGGAGGCAAUAAAAAAAAAGCACUCUUUCGAGCACGAGAAGAAACGAGAAACGGAGAAAGCACCUGGAAGCUAGGGCUCGUGCCACUUAAUCGGUUCAGAAGCUAAAGGAAGAAGAGCUCGAGGCACGUGUGGGUCUGAACCGGCAAAGAAAGCAGCAAGGUGAUCGGAGGGUUGAGAAGCAAAUUGAAGAAGGGGCCGUUGGAUGAAGAGGUUAGGAUGAAGGUCUUGUUCGCUUUUCUUUCUUUAUCUGUUUUGGAUUUUUACCCUAUAUAAAGGGAUUGCUUUCAUGUAAAUAGGGGACGCUGGGAUAUUCAUCGGGUCACUUUCAAUUUUUUUCUGAUUCUUACGUUUUUGAGAGCGAGAGUCUAGGGUUUUAUCGCUUC
RNAcentral lists this long non-coding RNA (882 nucleotides) under Vigna radiata. RNAcentral's name for it is "long non-coding RNA (VRAD_LNC004387)". The record is from RNAcentral. Lineage: Eukaryota; Viridiplantae; Streptophyta; Magnoliopsida; Fabales; Fabaceae.